AGAGUUUGAUCCUGGCUCAGGACGAACGCUGGCGGCGUGCUUAACACAUGCAAGUCGAGCGAUGAAGCUCCUUCGGGAGUGGAUUAGCGGCGGACGGGUGAGUAACACGUGGGUAACCUGCCUCAUAGAGGGGAAUAGCCUUCCGAAAGGAAGAUUAAUACCGCAUAAGAUUGUAGUUCUGCAUGGGACAGCAAUUAAAGGAGUGAUCCGCUAUGAGAUGGACCCGCGUCGCAUUAGCUAGUUGGUGAGGUAACGGCUCACCAAGGCGACGAUGCGUAGCCGACCUGAGAGGGUGAUCGGCCACAUUGGGACUGAGACACGGCCCAGACUCCUACGGGAGGCAGCAGUGGGGAAUAUUGCACAAUGGGGGAAACCCUGAUGCAGCAACGCCGCGUGAGUGAUGACGGUCUUCGGAUUGUAAAACUCUGUUGCAGGGGAAUAAGAAAGUGAAUGUACCCUGUGAGGAAGGGUCGGCUAACUUCGUGCCAGCAGCCGCGGUAAU
RNAcentral lists this ribosomal RNA (502 nucleotides) under uncultured bacterium. RNAcentral describes it as "bacterial SSU rRNA". It matches the Rfam family "Bacterial small subunit ribosomal RNA", at positions 8 to 524 of the family's 1533-position model. The record is from RNAcentral.